Molecule: small RNA, 265 nt
Filed under: Cryptococcus neoformans H99
Lineage: Eukaryota; Fungi; Basidiomycota; Tremellomycetes; Tremellales; Cryptococcaceae
Description: Cryptococcus neoformans var. grubii H99 hypothetical RNA
Source: RNAcentral
CAUUGUUCACCUUGCUGACUAUCUCAUUACUAUAGAGUCGCUUGAUUGUCACUACUUCCACGACACUCAGGUGCUCGGAGGCGCUCAGAUUAACGCAAGUCUCCCUCUUCUAACCAAGACGGAGGUUCGUUACAGCAUUCUUCUUGCCGUUCGGUCGGUGCCUUGCUUAUUUUGGAUUGGCGGGGAAUUGAAGGGUGAACGACACAUCUUUCUCACUUUCUCAAAUGUUCCAUUUGUAAUGCAUGUAUAUCUCUUAUGUAUUAUG